Molecule: non-coding RNA, 87 nt
Organism: Candidatus Staskawiczbacteria bacterium
Lineage: Bacteria; Candidatus Staskawicziibacteriota
Source: Rfam
GGAGAGGUGGCUGAGCGGUUUAAAGCGGCAGGUUGCUAACCUGCGAUCACGCAAGUGGUCUCGUGGGUUCAAAUCCCACCCUCUCCG